AAAUUGAAGAGUUUGAUCAUGGCUCAGAUUGAACGCUGGCGGCAGGCCUAACACAUGCAAGUCGAGCGGAAACGAGUUAUCAGAACCUUCGGGGGACGAUAACGGCGUCGAGCGGCGGACGGGUGAGUAAUGCCUAGGAAAUUGCCCUGAUGUGGGGGAUAACCAUUGGAAACGAUGGCUAAUACCGCAUGAUGCCUACGGGCCAAAGAGGGGGACCUUCGGGCCUCUCGCGUCAGGAUAUGCCUAGGUGGG
This 252-nucleotide ribosomal RNA is filed under the name Vibrio parahaemolyticus. RNAcentral's name for it is "partial 16S ribosomal RNA". It matches the Rfam family "Bacterial small subunit ribosomal RNA", at positions 1 to 239 of the family's 1533-position model. The record is from RNAcentral. Lineage: Bacteria; Pseudomonadati; Pseudomonadota; Gammaproteobacteria; Vibrionales; Vibrionaceae.